RNAcentral lists this ribosomal RNA (253 nucleotides) under uncultured bacterium. Its description in RNAcentral is "partial 16S ribosomal RNA". It matches the Rfam family "Bacterial small subunit ribosomal RNA", at positions 524 to 776 of the family's 1533-position model. The record is from RNAcentral.
UACGUAGGGCGCAAGCGUUAUCCGGAAUUAUUGGGCGUAAAGAGCUCGUAGGUGGUUUGUUACGUCUGCUGUGAAAUCCUAGGGCUUAACCCUGGGCUUGCAGUGGAUACGGGCAGACUAGAGGUAGGUAGGGGAGAAUGGAAUUCCUGGUGUAGCGGUGAAAUGCGCAGAUAUCAGGAGGAACACCGGUGGCGAAGGCGGUUCUCUGGGCCUUACCUGACACUGAGGAGCGAAAGCGUGGGGAGCGAACAGG